Long non-coding RNA from Oxyura jamaicensis (ruddy duck), 221 nucleotides. RefSeq lists it as uncharacterized. The record is from RefSeq and is a predicted model, not a curated record. The transcript is spliced from 3 exons. NCBI's taxonomy places the organism in Eukaryota, Metazoa, Chordata, Aves, Anseriformes, Anatidae.
AGCCUGGGGCCAGCAACAGCAGGCAGCAGGCGUGUGCUGCUCCCUCGGCAUCCUCUCCUUCCCCCUCUGCAGCAGCCUCGUCAGCACAAAGAAUUCACGCUGACGGAAGUCAAGGUGUGAACAGAAUUGAUCCGAUUACACCAGCAAAGCCUCUCUGCUUUUAUUUGAGGCAAAAAUGGCUUUUUCAGUUUAGUUUGUAACCCAAAACAACCUUUAAAUUG